This 557-nucleotide long non-coding RNA is filed under the name Vulpes vulpes (red fox). RNAcentral's name for it is "lncRNA (ENSVVUG00000012130.1)". The record is from RNAcentral. Lineage: Eukaryota; Metazoa; Chordata; Mammalia; Carnivora; Canidae.
CCGGGCCGUCUGCGCGGGGUGGUGCCGCGUGUGCACCCGAGAGGGCCGACAUGUUGGGGUGCACGUGGUGGCGCGCGAGCUCCUGCACGCUCGUCGCCCGUCGGUGGCGCCCUAUGCCGUCCGCGCGGCGCAGAGCCAGCGACUUCCCGCCAGCGGCUUUUCUGGCGGGCGAGGGCCGGGCCGGGCCAAUGGGGACGCGGUGACCUCAUCAGGCCUGCGUGUCACCACGUGCGCAGCGGCGCGGGGAGGGGGUGUGUCCCUCGGAUACGGAUACGGAGCGCGGCCUCACCCCCGCUGCUGAGGGCUCGGGAGCAGCCGGCCCAGCGCGCCGCACCGCGGUGCACCCCGGCGCUCCUCUCUGCGCCCCGACGCCGUUUCGGCAGCGCAGCCCGAGGCCCGUCUCUCCGCAGCCCGAGCCCGAGGCCGGUGUCUCUGUCCACAGCCCGAUGUCUCCGCCCGAGGUCCGUGGCUCCGCGGCCCGACGCCGGACUGUCCGCAGCCCGGGGUCUCCGCAGCCUGAGGCCCGUGGCUCCGCGGCCCGACGCCGGACCGUCCGC